UCGUAACAAGGUCUCCGUAGGUGAACCUGCGGAGGGAUCAUUACAAAUUCAGUGGGGCGUCGGCUUCGGCCGGCGCGUCGCGUCAACCUCUGUGAACCAUCCCUGUUGCCUCGGGGGCGACCCUGCCGUCUCGGCGGUGGGGGCUCCCGGUGGCCCUCUUCAAACACUGCGUUUAUUUGCGUCGGAGUUUAAACAAAUCAAUCAAAACUUUCAACAACGGAUCUCUUGGUUCUGGCAUCGAUGAAGAACGCAGCGAAAUGCGAUAAGUAAUGUGAAUUGCAGAAUUCAGUGAAUCAUCGAAUCUUUGAACGCACAUUGCGCCCUUUGGUAUUCCGAAGGGCAUGCCUGUUCGAGCGUCAUUUCACCACUCAAGCCUGGCUUGGUAUUGGGCGUCGCGGGUCACCGCGCGCUUUAAAGUCUUUCCGGCUGAGCGACCCGUCUCUAAGCGUUGUGGCAACUAUUCGCGGCGAGAUUGGGUGGCGACGGCCGUUAAAUCUUUCUUAAGGUUGACCUCGGAUCAGGUAGGGAUACCCGCUGAACUUAAGCAUAUC
Molecule: ribosomal RNA, 551 nt
Filed under: fungal endophyte
Lineage: Eukaryota; Fungi
Description: eukaryotic LSU rRNA
Rfam family: 5.8S ribosomal RNA (bases 206-359)
Source: RNAcentral